RNAcentral lists this ribosomal RNA (695 nucleotides) under uncultured bacterium. Its description in RNAcentral is "bacterial SSU rRNA". It matches the Rfam family "Bacterial small subunit ribosomal RNA", at positions 111 to 823 of the family's 1533-position model. The record is from RNAcentral.
UAACGCGUGGAUAACCUGCCCCAUACCGGGGGAUAACAGUUAGAAAUGACUGCUAAUACCGCAUAAGCGCACGGAGCCGCAUGGCGCAGUGUGAAAAACUCCGGUGGUAUGGGAUGGAUCCGCGUCUGAUUAGCUAGUUGGCGGGGUAACGGCCCACCAAGGCAGCGAUCAGUAGCCGACCUGAGAGGGUGGCCGGCCACAUUGGGACUGAGACACGGCCCAAACUCCUACGGGAGGCAGCAGUGGGGAACAUUGCACAAUGGGGGAAACCCUGAUGCAGCAACGCCGCGUGAGUGAAGAAGUAUUUCGGUAUGUAAAGCUCUAUCAGCAGGGAAGAAGAAGGACGGUACCUGACUAAGAAGCCCCGGCUAACUACGUGCCAGCAGCCGCGGUAAUACGUAGGGGGCGAGCGUUAUCCGGAUUUACUGGGUGUAAAGGGAGCGUAGACGGUUUUUCAAGUCUGAAGUGAAAGCCCGCGGCUCAACUGCGGAACGGCUUUGGAAACUGAGGGACUAGAGUGCUGGAGGGGCAGGCGGAAUUCCUGGUGUAGCGGUGAAAUGCGUAGAUAUCAGGAGGAACACCGGUGGCGAAGGCGGCCUGCUGGACAGUAACUGACGUUGAGGCUCGAAAGCGUGGGGAGCAAACAGGAUUAGAUACCCUGGUAGUCCACGCGGUAAACGAUGAAUGCUAGGUGU